GACGAACGCUGGCGGUGUGCUUAACACAUGCAAGUCGAACGGUAAGGCCCUUUCGGGGGUACACGAGUGGCGAACGGGUGAGUAACACGUGAGUAACCUGCCCUCAUCUCUGGGAUAACAGUCGGAAACGGUUGCUAAUACUGGAUAUGAGCUUGCAAGGCAUCUUGUGGGUUGGAAAGAUUUUUUUGGUUGGGGAUGGACUCGCGGCCUAUCAGCUUGUUGGUGAGGUAGUGGCUCACCAAGGCUUCGACGGGUAGCCGGCCUGAGAGGGCGACCGGCCACAUUGGGACUGAGAUACGGCCCAAACUCCUACGGGAGGCGGCAGUGGGGAAUAUUGCACAAUGGACGGAAGUCUGAUGCAGCAACGCCGCGGGCGGGAUGACGGCCUUCGGGUUGUAAACCGCUUUCAAUUGUGACGAAGCUUUUUGUGACGGUAGCAGUAGAAGAAGCACCGGCUAACUACGUG
Molecule: ribosomal RNA, 466 nt
Filed under: uncultured bacterium
Lineage: Bacteria
Description: partial 16S ribosomal RNA
Rfam family: Bacterial small subunit ribosomal RNA
Source: RNAcentral